RNAcentral lists this non-coding RNA (101 nucleotides) under Astrosyne radiata. Lineage: Eukaryota; Bacillariophyta; Fragilariophyceae; Cyclophorales; Cyclophoraceae. The record is from RNAcentral.
UGGAAAUGUACAUUCUCAAUUGAAAGACAAAUAAAACAACAAAAAGAAACACGGCAAAAGAAUCGCUUGGUCUACUUAUACCUGGUUCUGUUCUCAUUUUU